CUGGGGAUAAUACCCUAUAGAUUACAGAUGCUGGAAUGCCCUGUAAUCCAAAGUUCCGACGCCCUAGGAUGGAUCUGCGGCCGAUUAGGUUGUUGUUGGGGUAACGGCCCAACAAGCCCGUAAUCGGUACGGGUUGUGGGAGCAAGAGCCCGGAGUUGGAUUCUGAGACACGAAUCCAGGCCCUACGGGGCGCAGCAGGCGCGAAAACUUUACAAUGCGGGCAACCGUGAUAAGGGAACCUCGAGUGCCUGUAAAUGCAGGCUGUUCAGGUGCCUAAAACACACCUGAAGAAAGGGCCGGGCAAGACCGGUGCCAGCCGCCGCGGUAAUACCGGCGGCUCGAGUGGUGGCCGCUUUUAUUGGGCUUAAAGCGUUCGUAGCUGGGUUGUUAAGUCUCUUGGGAAAUCUGGCGGCUUAACCGUCAGGCGUCUAAGGGAUACUGGCAAUCUUGGAACCGGGAGAGGUGAGGGGUACUUCGGGGGUAGGAGUGAAAUCCUGUAAUCCUCGAGGGACCACCUGUGGCGAAGGCGCCUCACCAGAACGGCUUCGACAGUGAGGGACGAAAGCUGGGGGAGCAAACCGGAUUAGAUACCCGGGUAGUCCCAGCCGUAAACUAUGCGCGUUAGGUGUAUCGGUGACCACGAGUUACCGAGGUGCCGAAGGGAAACCGUGAAACGUGCCGCCUGGGAAGUACGGUCGC
This 699-nucleotide ribosomal RNA is filed under the name uncultured archaeon. RNAcentral's name for it is "bacterial SSU rRNA". It matches the Rfam family "Archaeal small subunit ribosomal RNA", at positions 140 to 844 of the family's 1478-position model. The record is from RNAcentral.